GCGCGAUGAUUUUCGGUGAUUAUCCGGCGGAGUACAACCCGAAGAUCCACGGACCUUACGAUCCUGUCCGUUACUACGGCAAG
RNAcentral lists this long non-coding RNA (83 nucleotides) under Aedes aegypti (yellow fever mosquito). Its description in RNAcentral is "lncRNA AAEL028743". It matches the Rfam family "Sphinx_ conserved region 1", at positions 1 to 83 of the family's 100-position model. Lineage: Eukaryota; Metazoa; Arthropoda; Insecta; Diptera; Culicidae. The record is from RNAcentral.